This 2922-nucleotide ribosomal RNA is filed under the name Bacillus anthracis (anthrax bacterium). RNAcentral's name for it is "23S ribosomal RNA". It matches the Rfam family "Bacterial large subunit ribosomal RNA". Lineage: Bacteria; Bacillati; Bacillota; Bacilli; Caryophanales; Bacillaceae. The record is from RNAcentral.
GGUUAAGUUAGAAAGGGCGCACGGUGGAUGCCUUGACACUAGGAGUCGAUGAAGGACGGGACUAACGCCGAUAUGCUUCGGGGAGCUGUAAGUAAGCUUUGAUCCGAAGAUUUCCGAAUGGGGAAACCCACCAUACGUAAUGGUAUGGUAUCCUUAUCUGAAUACAUAGGAUAAGGAAGACAGACCCAGGGAACUGAAACAUCUAAGUACCUGGAGGAAGAGAAAGCAAAUGCGAUUUCCUGAGUAGCGGCGAGCGAAACGGAACAUAGCCCAAACCAAGAGGCUUGCCUCUUGGGGUUGUAGGACAUUCUAUACGGAGUUACAAAGGAACGAGGUAGACGAAGCGACCUGGAAAGGUCCGUCGUAGAGGGUAACAACCCCGUAGUCGAAACUUCGUUCUCUCUUGAAUGUAUCCUGAGUACGGCGGAACACGUGAAAUUCCGUCGGAAUCUGGGAGGACCAUCUCCCAAGGCUAAAUACUCCCUAGUGAUCGAUAGUGAACCAGUACCGUGAGGGAAAGGUGAAAAGCACCCCGGAAGGGGAGUGAAAGAGAUCCUGAAACCGUGUGCCUACAAAUAGUCAGAGCCCGUUAACGGGUGAUGGCGUGCCUUUUGUAGAAUGAACCGGCGAGUUACGAUCCCGUGCGAGGUUAAGCUGAAGAGGCGGAGCCGCAGCGAAAGCGAGUCUGAAUAGGGCGUUUAGUACGUGGUCGUAGACCCGAAACCAGGUGAUCUACCCAUGUCCAGGGUGAAGUUCAGGUAACACUGAAUGGAGGCCCGAACCCACGCACGUUGAAAAGUGCGGGGAUGAGGUGUGGGUAGCGGAGAAAUUCCAAUCGAACCUGGAGAUAGCUGGUUCUCCCCGAAAUAGCUUUAGGGCUAGCCUUAAGUGUAAGAGUCUUGGAGGUAGAGCACUGAUUGGACUAGGGGUCCUCAUCGGAUUACCGAAUUCAGUCAAACUCCGAAUGCCAAUGACUUAUCCUUAGGAGUCAGACUGCGAGUGAUAAGAUCCGUAGUCAAAAGGGAAACAGCCCAGACCGCCAGCUAAGGUCCCAAAGUGUGUAUUAAGUGGAAAAGGAUGUGGAGUUGCUUAGACAACUAGGAUGUUGGCUUAGAAGCAGCCACCAUUUAAAGAGUGCGUAAUAGCUCACUAGUCGAGUGACUCUGCGCCGAAAAUGUACCGGGGCUAAAUACACCACCGAAGCUGCGGAUUGAUACCAAUGGUAUCAGUGGUAGGGGAGCGUUCUAAGGACAGUGAAGUCAGACCGGAAGGACUGGUGGAGUGCUUAGAAGUGAGAAUGCCGGUAUGAGUAGCGAAAGACGGGUGAGAAUCCCGUCCACCGAAUGCCUAAGGUUUCCUGAGGAAGGCUCGUCCGCUCAGGGUUAGUCAGGACCUAAGCCGAGGCCGACAGGCGUAGGCGACGGACAACAGGUUGAUAUUCCUGUACCACCUCUUUAUCGUUUGAGCAAUGGAGGGACGCAGAAGGAUAGAAGAAGCGUGCGAUUGGUUGUGCACGUCCAAGCAGUUAGGCUGAUAAGUAGGCAAAUCCGCUUAUCGUGAAGGCUGAGCUGUGAUGGGGAAGCUCCUUAUGGAGCGAAGUCUUUGAUUCCCCGCUGCCAAGAAAAGCUUCUAGCGAGAUAAAAGGUGCCUGUACCGCAAACCGACACAGGUAGGCGAGGAGAGAAUCCUAAGGUGUGCGAGAGAACUCUGGUUAAGGAACUCGGCAAAAUGACCCCGUAACUUCGGGAGAAGGGGUGCUUUCUUAACGGAAAGCCGCAGUGAAUAGGCCCAAGCGACUGUUUAGCAAAAACACAGCUCUCUGCGAAGCCGUAAGGCGAAGUAUAGGGGGUGACACCUGCCCGGUGCUGGAAGGUUAAGGAGAGGGGUUAGCGUAAGCGAAGCUCUGAACUGAAGCCCCAGUAAACGGCGGCCGUAACUAUAACGGUCCUAAGGUAGCGAAAUUCCUUGUCGGGUAAGUUCCGACCCGCACGAAAGGUGUAACGAUUUGGGCACUGUCUCAACCAGAGACUCGGUGAAAUUAUAGUACCUGUGAAGAUGCAGGUUACCCGCGACAGGACGGAAAGACCCCGUGGAGCUUUACUGUAGCCUGAUAUUGAAUUUUGGUACAGUUUGUACAGGAUAGGCGGGAGCCUUUGAAACCGGAGCGCUAGCUUCGGUGGAGGCGCUGGUGGGAUACCGCCCUGACUGUAUUGAAAUUCUAACCUACGGGUCUUAUCGACCCGGGAGACAGUGUCAGGUGGGCAGUUUGACUGGGGCGGUCGCCUCCUAAAGUGUAACGGAGGCGCCCAAAGGUUCCCUCAGAAUGGUUGGAAAUCAUUCGUAGAGUGCAAAGGCAUAAGGGAGCUUGACUGCGAGACCUACAAGUCGAGCAGGGACGAAAGUCGGGCUUAGUGAUCCGGUGGUUCCGCAUGGAAGGGCCAUCGCUCAACGGAUAAAAGCUACCCCGGGGAUAACAGGCUUAUCUCCCCCAAGAGUCCACAUCGACGGGGAGGUUUGGCACCUCGAUGUCGGCUCAUCGCAUCCUGGGGCUGUAGUCGGUCCCAAGGGUUGGGCUGUUCGCCCAUUAAAGCGGUACGCGAGCUGGGUUCAGAACGUCGUGAGACAGUUCGGUCCCUAUCCGUCGUGGGCGUAGGAAAUUUGAGAGGAGCUGUCCUUAGUACGAGAGGACCGGGAUGGACGCACCGCUGGUGUACCAGUUGUUCUGCCAAGGGCAUAGCUGGGUAGCUAUGUGCGGAAGGGAUAAGUGCUGAAAGCAUCUAAGCAUGAAGCCCCCCUCAAGAUGAGAUUUCCCAUAGCGUAAGCUAGUAAGAUCCCUGAAAGAUGAUCAGGUUGAUAGGUUCGAGGUGGAAGCAUGGUGACAUGUGGAGCUGACGAAUACUAAUAGAUCGAGGACUUAACCAU